GUCCGUUCGGGGACAUCCGAUAAAAUUGGAACGAUACAGAGAAGAUUAGCAUGGCCCCAGAGCAAGGAUGACACGCACAAAUCGAGAAAUGGUUCAAAUUUCU
Molecule: small nuclear RNA, 103 nt
Filed under: Gossypium hirsutum (cotton)
Lineage: Eukaryota; Viridiplantae; Streptophyta; Magnoliopsida; Malvales; Malvaceae
Source: RNAcentral